AGUGAACGCUGGCGGUAGGCCUAACACAUGCAAGUCGAACGGCAGCACAGUAAGAGCUUGCUCUUACGGGUGGCGAGUGGCGGACGGGUGAGGAAUACAUCGGAAUCUACUUUUUCGUGGGGGAUAACGUAGGGAAACUUAUGCUAAUACCGCAUACGACCUACGGGUGAAAGCAGGGGAUCUUCGGACCUUUCGCGAUUGAAUGAGCCGAUGUCGGAUUAGCUAGUUGGCGGGGUAAAGGCCCACCAAGGCGACGAUCCGUAGCUGGUCUGAGAGGAUGAUCAGCCACACUGGAACUGAGACACGGUCCAGACUCCUACGGGAGGCAGCAGUGGGGAAUCUUGGACAAUGGGCGCAAGCCUGAUCCAGCCAUACCGCGUGGGUGAAGAAGGCCUUCGGGUUGUAAAGCCCUUUUGUUGGGAAAGAAAAGCAGCAGGUUAAUCCCCCGCUGUUCUGACGGUACCCAAAGAAUAAGCACCGGCUAACUUCGUG
This 492-nucleotide ribosomal RNA is filed under the name uncultured bacterium. RNAcentral's name for it is "partial 16S ribosomal RNA". It matches the Rfam family "Bacterial small subunit ribosomal RNA", at positions 29 to 507 of the family's 1533-position model. The record is from RNAcentral.